CCUACGGGAGGCAGCAGUGGGGGAUAUUGGACAAUGGGGGAAACCCUGAUCCAGCGACGCCGCGUGAGUGAAGAAGUAUUUCGGUAUGUAAAGCACUAUCAGCAGGGAAGAAAGAAAUGACGGUACCUGAGUAAGCAGCCCCGGCUAACUACGUGCCAGCAGCCGCGGUAAUACGUAGGGGGCAAGCGUUAUCCGGAAUUACUGGGUGUAAAGGGAGCGUAGACGGUAAUGCAAGUCUGGAGUGAAAGGCGGGGGCCCAACCCCCGGACUGCUCUGGAAACUGUGUAACUUGAGUGCAGGAGAGGCAGGCGGAAUUCCUAGUGUAGCGGUGAAAUGCGUAGAGAUUAGGAGGAACACCAGUGGCGAAGGCGGCCUGCUGGACUGAGACUGACGUUGAGGCUCGAAAGCGUGGGGAGCAAACAGGAUUAGAUACCCUUGUAGUC
Molecule: ribosomal RNA, 443 nt
Filed under: uncultured bacterium
Lineage: Bacteria
Description: partial 16S ribosomal RNA
Rfam family: Bacterial small subunit ribosomal RNA
Source: RNAcentral